RNAcentral lists this ribosomal RNA (497 nucleotides) under uncultured bacterium. RNAcentral describes it as "partial 16S ribosomal RNA". It matches the Rfam family "Bacterial small subunit ribosomal RNA", at positions 28 to 507 of the family's 1533-position model. The record is from RNAcentral.
GAUGAACGCUGGCGGCGUGCCUAAUACAUGCAAGUCGAGCGAACAGACGAGGAGCUUGCUCCUCUGACGUUAGCGGCGGACGGGUGAGUAACACGUGGAUAACCUACCUAUAAGACUGGGAUAACUUCGGGAAACCGGAGCUAAUACCGGAUAAUAUAUUGAACCGCAGGGUUCAAUAGUGAAAGACGGUUUUGCUGUCACUUAUAGAUGGAUCCGCGCCGCAUUAGCUAGUUGGUAAGGUAACGGCUUACCAAGGCGACGAUGCGUAGCCGACCUGAGAGGGUGAUCAGCCACACUGGAACUGAGACACGGUCCAGACUCCUACGGGAGGCAGCAGUAGGGAAUCUUCCGCAAUGGGCGAAAGCCUGACCGAGCAACGCCGCGUGAGUGAUGAAGGUCUUCGGAUCGUAAAACUCUUUUAUUAGGGAAGAACAAAUGUGUAAGUAACUAUGCACGUCUUGACGGUACCUAAUCAGAAAGCCACGGCUAACUACGUG